Molecule: long non-coding RNA, 506 nt
Filed under: Calidris pugnax (ruff)
Lineage: Eukaryota; Metazoa; Chordata; Aves; Charadriiformes; Scolopacidae
Description: lncRNA (ENSCPUG00000008115.1)
Source: RNAcentral
GAGAAGGAAGGUCUGGUCCUUCACUUCAGGGAAGGAAGGCAGGAAGUUUCUGUGAUGAUGUCAGUCUGUUUUUGUUUGACUUUAGGAUGAAAAGCGUGACCUAAAGACUGGUGAGUCGUUUGAGGAAAUCAGCAGACUGCUCUUUCGGUGCUGAUAACUGUAUCUUCUGGCAGGGCACCACAGUGGUGCUCACAGGAGCAGCCCUGGAGAUGAUCUGCACUUACUGGCUGUGAGGAGGCUGGUGGACAUCGGGACAUGCUCCCUGCAGACAGCCCUGUUCUACAUUUGCUCUUGUGGAAGGCAGCCCCUGCUACGGGCAGAGCAAGAGCAGCACAAAGCGCUGCCGAUGGUCCCUUCAGACAUCCUGAGGGAGGGCAAGAGAGUGGCCACAGCAUCAACGGGGAACUUUUCCAAACCUAGGAGCAGAGGCGUACUGGAAGGAGAAGAGCCUUAACAUGUAAGUAAAAAUUAAUAAAUUAUUCUAAAAUGGCUGGACUGAAAUUUCC